This 532-nucleotide ribosomal RNA is filed under the name uncultured bacterium. RNAcentral describes it as "bacterial SSU rRNA". It matches the Rfam family "Bacterial small subunit ribosomal RNA", at positions 355 to 896 of the family's 1533-position model. The record is from RNAcentral.
UGGGGAAUUUUGCACAAUGGGCGGAAGCCUGAUGCAGCGACGCCGUGUGGGGGAUGAAGGCCUUCGGGUUGUAAACUCCUUUCGUCAGGGACGAAGUUUGUUUGACGGUACCUGGAUAAGAAGCACCGGCUAACUACGUGCCAGCAGCCGCGGUAAUACGUAGGGUGCGAGCGUUGUCCGGAUUUACUGGGCGUAAAGGGCUCGUAGGUGGUGUGUUGCGUCGUCUGUGUAAUCCAGGGGCUUAACUUUUGGUUGGCAGGCGAUACGGGCAUUGCUUGAGUGCUGUAGGGGAGACUGGAAUUCCUGGUGUAGCGGUGAAAUGCGCAGAUAUCAGGAGGAACACCGAUGGCGAAGGCAGGUCUCUGGGCAGUUACUGACGCUGAGGAGCGAGAGCAUGGGUAGCGAACAGGAUUAGAUACCCUGGUAGUCUAUGCUGUAAACGGUGGGCGCUAGGUGUGAGCCUCUUCCACGGGGUUUGUGCCGUAGCUAACGCUUUAAGCGCCCCGCCUGGGGGAGUACGGCCGCAAGGCUA